AACGCGAAGAACCUUACCUGGGCUCGAAAUGCAGAGGGCGAUAUCAGAAAUGAUAUUUUCCGCAAGGACUUCUGUAUAGGUGCUGCAUGGCUGUCGUCAGCUCGUGCCGUGAGGUGUUUGGUUAAGUCCAGCAACGAGCGCAACCCUUAUCAUUAGUUGCCAACACGUAAGGUGGGGACUCUAAUGAGACUGCCUAGGUUAACUAGGAGGAAGGCGAGGAUGACGUCAAGUCCGCAUGGCCUUUAUGUCCAGGGCUACACACGUGCUACAAUGGUCGGUACAGAGGGCUGCAAGACCGUAAGGUGGAGCAAAUCCCAGAAAGCCGAUCUCAGUUCAGAUUGUGGACUGCAACUCGUCCACAUGAAGUCGGAAUUGCUAGUAAUGGCGCGUCAGCAACAGCGCCGUGAAUACGUUCCCGGGCCUUGUA
This 427-nucleotide ribosomal RNA is filed under the name uncultured Chlamydiae bacterium. RNAcentral's name for it is "bacterial SSU rRNA". It matches the Rfam family "Bacterial small subunit ribosomal RNA", at positions 958 to 1385 of the family's 1533-position model. The record is from RNAcentral. Lineage: Bacteria; Pseudomonadati; Chlamydiota; Chlamydiia.